CCCUUAGAUGUUCUGGGCCGCACGCGCGCUACACUGACGAAUGCAACGAGCUUAUAACCUUGGCCGAAAGGUCUGGGUAAUCUCCAAAUUUCGUCGUGAUGGGGAUAGAUUAUUGCAAUUAUUAAUCUUCAACGAGGAAUGCCUAGUAAGCGCAAGUCAUCAGCUUGCGUUGAUUACGUCCCUGCCCUUUGUACACACCGCCCGUCGCUCCUACCGAUUGAAUGGUCCGGUGAAGCGUUCGGACCGUGGCCUUUUGACGGUUCGCCGUCUGUUGGCUGCGGGAAGUUCGUUAAACCUUAUCAUUUAGAGGAAGGAGAAGUCGUAACA
Molecule: ribosomal RNA, 327 nt
Filed under: uncultured eukaryote
Lineage: Eukaryota
Description: partial 18S ribosomal RNA
Rfam family: Eukaryotic small subunit ribosomal RNA
Source: RNAcentral